This is a long non-coding RNA of Anthonomus grandis grandis, 499 nucleotides long. RefSeq lists it as uncharacterized. The record is from RefSeq and is a predicted model, not a curated record. NCBI's taxonomy places the organism in Eukaryota, Metazoa, Arthropoda, Insecta, Coleoptera, Curculionidae. The transcript is spliced from 2 exons.
CUGUCAUAUAAACUGUCUAAUGAAUUUUGUAUUCUAAAGUAUUUUAUAUUUUCUUAGAAAUAAUUUUACAACGUAAAACAUUUUCUUUAAACAUACAUAUAAUACAAUCUGUUGUAUUUCAUAAAUCUUGGCAGACGUAUGAAAAGAUGAAUACAUACAUGAAAGGCGUGAGAAUUAAUUUCUACAGUAUAUUGAGCUGUUAGUUAGCUGAUAAAGUGGCAAGAAAUCAUUGAACAAAAACGACAAAACAAUCGACCUGUUUAAAAUAUCUAUUGGAUAAAAAAGGUGGAGAUGCGUAUACUUUUCUGAAAGACCCAACAAAAAUUGAAUAAUUUUGUGUCAAAGAAAAAAUAGUAUGAUGAAGAAGAAGGUACGACUAUACUCAGCCCGUUUAGAAAUGCAAGUUACUAACAAAUCACUUUAUAUAAGAUUAUUGUAACACUUUAUACCUAUAUGCUUGUAAUACAACAUACAUUCGAAUAAGAAGACUAGAAUUUGA